This 217-nucleotide unclassified non-coding RNA is filed under the name plant metagenome. Its description in RNAcentral is "partial contains small subunit ribosomal RNA, internal transcribed spacer 1, and 5.8S ribosomal RNA". The record is from RNAcentral.
UAUCCGUAGGUGAACCUGCGGAGGGAUCAUUACAAGUGACCCCGGUCUUACCACCUGGAUGUUCAUAACCCUUUGUUGUCCGACUCUGUUGCCUCCGGGGCGACCCUGCCUACGGGCGGGGGCUCCGGGUGGACACUUCAAACUCUUGCGUAACUUUGCAGUCUGAGUAAACUUAAUUAAUAAAUUAAAACUUUUAACAACGGAUCUCUUGGUUCUG